GAUGAACGCUAGCUACAGGCUUAACACAUGCAAGUCGAGGGGCAGCAUUCUUCUAGCAAUAGAAGAGAUGGCGACCGGCGCACGGGUGAGUAACACGUAUCCAACCUACCGAUAACUCUGGAAUAGCCUUUCGAAAGAAAGAUUAAUACCGGAUAGCAUACGAAUAUUGCAUGAUAUUUUUAUUAAAGAAUUUCGGUUAUCGAUGGGGAUGCGUUCCAUUAGUUUGUUGGCGGGGUAACGGCCCACCAAGACUACGAUGGAUAGGGGUUCUGAGAGGAAGGUCCCCCACAUUGGAACUGAGACACGGUCCAAACUCCUACGGGAGGCAGCAGUGAGGAAUAUUGGUCAAUGGGCGAGAGCCUGAACCAGCCAAGUAGCGUGAAGGAUGAAGGCUCUAUGGGUCGUAAACUUCUUUUAUAUGGGAAUAAAGUUUUCCACGUGUGG
RNAcentral lists this ribosomal RNA (444 nucleotides) under uncultured bacterium. RNAcentral's name for it is "bacterial SSU rRNA". It matches the Rfam family "Bacterial small subunit ribosomal RNA", at positions 28 to 465 of the family's 1533-position model. The record is from RNAcentral.